AAUGAACGCUGGCGGCAUGCCUAACACAUGCAAGUCGAACGAUUGCCUUCGGGUGAUAGUGGCGCACGGGUGCGUAACGCGUGGGAAUCUGCCCUUAGGUUCGGAAUAACAGCUGGAAACGGCUGCUAAUACCGGAUGAUAUCGCGAGAUCAAAGAUUUAUCGCCUGAGGAUGAGCCCGCGUUGGAUUAGGUAGUUGGUGGGGUAAAGGCCUACCAAGCCGACGAUCCAUAGCUGGUCUGAGAGGAUGAUCAGCCACACUGGGACUGAGACACGGUCCAGACUCCUACGGGAGGCAGGAGUGGGGAAUAUUGGACAGUGGGCGCAAGGCUGAUCCAGCAAUGCCGCGUGAGUGAUGAAGGCCCUAGAGUUGUAAAGCUCUUUUACCCGGGAAGAUAAUGACGGUACCGGGAGAAUAAGCCCCGGCUAACUCCGUG
RNAcentral lists this ribosomal RNA (435 nucleotides) under uncultured bacterium. RNAcentral describes it as "partial 16S ribosomal RNA". It matches the Rfam family "Bacterial small subunit ribosomal RNA", at positions 29 to 507 of the family's 1533-position model. The record is from RNAcentral.